CCCUAGGCUAAGCUAGUUCCUUGUCGAAACCAUGACGUGAUGACGAUACCAGUGUUUUUAUGAUCGCUGACAAAUCGCAUGCAAGUUCUCAAAUUAUUUUGUCAAAUUUUCUUUAUUGACCCAUACAAACGAGCAAAAUUUGCACCUUGCCUAUUUUUUCUAACACAAGUGCACUGUUUCAAAAGCUAUACAGUAAUAUGUUAUAUGUACCCUGGUUCCAGAGGUUCUUGUGCCAAUGCGAGCGAGAAUAGGGCGGAAGAUACGAGAACAGAGGGCAACCAGGGUAAUCUUCUAUGGGUAAUCGCCGGUUUGUGCCAGUGUAGGUCGUGUCAAUAAUAAUAAAAUUUGGGUUGACAGAAAUGCAACUACCUGAAUUUACAAGGAGAAUUUCAUGGAAAUGUCGAAAUUCUCCUUGCAUUUUUCAGGUAGUUGUAGCCUGAAAACUAGCCUGAUAACAGACCAACGUUUCACCCAUCCUAAAAUUCGUCGACCCGCGAAUUUUAGGGCGGGCGAAACGUAGGUCUGUUUUCAGGCUAAGGUAGUUGCAGCCAUAGAGAUUAUAAAUAACACUAGAGGAGGCAUCGAGUUUAAAAAUUGGGAACGCAGCUAAUGGGGGGCAAAUUCAAGUCCCGGAUAUAAAAUCGUGCUCUCAUUGGCUGAUUUGAAACUCG
Paramuricea clavata is the source of this 671-nucleotide non-coding RNA. Lineage: Eukaryota; Metazoa; Cnidaria; Anthozoa; Malacalcyonacea; Plexauridae. The record is from the annotation of a GenBank genome assembly.